RNAcentral lists this ribosomal RNA (112 nucleotides) under Caerostris darwini. The record is from RNAcentral. Lineage: Eukaryota; Metazoa; Arthropoda; Arachnida; Araneae; Araneidae.
AACGGCCGUACCAUGCUGAAUAUACCGGUUCUCGUUAGAUCAGCGAAGUCAAGAAUCAUUGGGCGCGGUCAGUACUUGGGUGGGUGACCACCUGGGAACACCGCGUGCCGUU